UACAGGGGGUGCAAACGUUGCUCGGAAUUAUUGGGCGUAAAGCGCGCGUAGGCGGCUAUCUAAGUCGGAUGUGAAAGCCCCUGGCUUAACUGGGGAAGUGCACCCGAAACUGGGUAGCUAGAGUGCAAAAGAGGGUCGCGGAAUUCCCGGUGUAGAAGUGAAAUUCGUAGAUAUCGGGAGGAACACCGGUGGCGAAGGCGGCGACCUGGGUUGACACUGACGCUGAGGCGCGAAAGCGUGGGGAGCAAACAGG
RNAcentral lists this ribosomal RNA (253 nucleotides) under uncultured bacterium. RNAcentral describes it as "partial 16S ribosomal RNA". It matches the Rfam family "Bacterial small subunit ribosomal RNA", at positions 524 to 776 of the family's 1533-position model. The record is from RNAcentral.